CCGCAUCUGCUCUAACCCCUCAGACAGAGACCAACACCUACAAAAUCUCCACCAAGCAUUCUCAAAACUACAAUACCCGCAUGAGGAAAUAAGGAAACAGAUCAACAGAGCCAGACGUGUACCCAGAAGCCUCCUACUGCAAGACAAACCCAAGAGAGAAACCAACAGGACUCCACUGGCCAUCACAUACAGCCCCCAGCUAAAACCCCUCCAACGCAUCAUCAAGGAUCUACAACCCAUCCUGGACAAUGAUCCCACACUUUCACAGGCCUUGGGUGGCAGGCCAAUCCUUGCCCACAGACAACCUGCCAACCUGAAACAUAUUCUCACCAGUAACUGCACACCACACCAUAAUAACUCUAGCUCAGGAACCAAUCCAUGCAACAAACCUCGAUGCCAACUCUGCCCACGUAUCUACACCAGCGACACCAUCACAGGACCUAACGAGAUCAGCUACACCUUCACCGGUUCACUCACCUGCACAUCCACCAAUGUAAUAUACGCCAUCAUAUGCCAGCAAUGCCCCUCUGCUAUGUACAUCGGCCAAACUGGACAGUCUCUACGGAAAAGGAUAAACGGACACAAAUCAGAUAUUAGGAAUGGCAAUAUACAAAAACCUGUAGGAGAACACUUCAACCUCCCUGGCCACACUAUAGCAGACCUUAAGGUGGCCAUCCUGCAGCAAAAAAACUUCAGGACCAGACUUCAAAGAGAAACUGCUGAGCUUCAGUUCAUCUGCAAAUUUGACACCAUCAGCUCAGGAUUAAACAAAGACUGUGAAUGGCUUGCCAGUUACAGAACCAGUUUCUCCUCCCUUGGUUUUCACACCUCAACUGCUAGAACAGGAUCUCAUCCUCCCUGAUUGAACUACCUCAUUAUCUCUAGCUUGCCUGCAUAUAUAUACCUGCCCCUGGAAAUUUCCACCACAUGCAUCUGACAAAGAGGGGAAUUCACCCAUGAAAGCUCAUGCUCCAAAACGUCUGUUAGUCUAUAAGGUGCCACAGGACUCUUUGCUGCCUUCCCUAUCUCUUAAAUCUA
RNAcentral lists this long non-coding RNA (1038 nucleotides) under Gopherus agassizii (Agassiz's desert tortoise). RNAcentral describes it as "lncRNA (ENSGAGG00000017827.1)". The record is from RNAcentral. Lineage: Eukaryota; Metazoa; Chordata; Testudines; Testudinidae.